UACGUAGGGACCAAGCGUUGUUCGGAUUCACUGGGCUUAAAGGGCGCGUAGGCGGCUCCUCAAGUCGGGGGUGAAAUCCUCUCGCUUAACGAGAGAAUUGCCUCCGAUACUGGGGAGCUGGAGGGGGAUAGGGGUGCGCGGAACUUCCGGUGGAGCGGUGAAAUGCGUAGAUAUCGGAAGGAACGCCGGUGGCGAAAGCGGCGCACUGGAUCCCCACUGACGCUGAGGCGCGAAAGCCAGGGGAGCAAACGGG
RNAcentral lists this ribosomal RNA (253 nucleotides) under uncultured bacterium. RNAcentral's name for it is "partial 16S ribosomal RNA". It matches the Rfam family "Bacterial small subunit ribosomal RNA", at positions 524 to 776 of the family's 1533-position model. The record is from RNAcentral.